GGCUCUUUGUUUUAGUUUAUAUAGAGAGUCGGGCCUGCCCAGUGAGAUAAAUUCUUUAACGGCCGCGGUACUCUGACCGUGCAAAGGUAGCAUAAUCAUUUGCCCUAUAAUUGGGGGCUAGUAUGAAUGGUUUGACAAGAGCAAAACUGUCUCUAUACGAUUUUAUAAAAUUUAAUCUUUAGCUGAAGAAGCCUGAAUUUGAUUAAAAGACAAGAAGACCCUAUCGAGCUUUAAAGACAUUGUGGGAUGUUUAGCAAUAUAUUUUAUAAAUUUUUAUCCUAUAAAAAUUUUGGUUGGGGCGACUAAGGAACAGUUAAAGCUUCUUAAAUUAGAAAAUAUUGACAUAUAAUGAUCCAGAAGUUCUGAUUAAAGGAAUUAGUUACCGUAGGGAUAACAGCAUAAUCUUUUUUGAGAGUUCUUAUCGAAAAAAAGGCUUGUGACCUCGAUGUUGGACCAGAAUAUCCUAAAGAUGCAACCU
Molecule: ribosomal RNA, 478 nt
Filed under: Separatista helicoides
Lineage: Eukaryota; Metazoa; Mollusca; Gastropoda; Littorinimorpha; Capulidae
Description: partial 16S ribosomal RNA
Rfam family: Bacterial large subunit ribosomal RNA
Source: RNAcentral